UACGUAGGCAGCGAGCGUUGUUCGGAGUUACUGGGCGUAAAGAGUGCGUAGGCGGUUUUCUAAGUUUGGUGUGAAAUCUCCCGGCUUAACUGGGAGGGUGCGCCGAAAACUGGAAGGCUUGAGUAUGGGAGAGGUAAGCGGAAUUCCUGGUGUAGCGGUGGAAUGCGUAGAGAUCCGGAAGAACACCGGUGGCGAAGGCGGUCUGCUGGGCAGUUGCUGACACUGAUGCGCGACAGCGUGGGGAGCAAACAGG
RNAcentral lists this ribosomal RNA (253 nucleotides) under uncultured bacterium. RNAcentral describes it as "partial 16S ribosomal RNA". It matches the Rfam family "Bacterial small subunit ribosomal RNA", at positions 524 to 776 of the family's 1533-position model. The record is from RNAcentral.